Long non-coding RNA from Monodelphis domestica (gray short-tailed opossum), 7111 nucleotides. RefSeq lists it as uncharacterized. Lineage: Eukaryota; Metazoa; Chordata; Mammalia; Didelphimorphia; Didelphidae. The record is from RefSeq and is a predicted model, not a curated record.
GUGGGGCAGGGAGGAGACUGGGAGAGGCAAGGGUAAAUUCUGCCAACAUUUUGCCCAAGGCUUCCUUGCCUAGCCUACCUCUCUAGUGUUCCCUAGAAUACUACCUCUACCUCUAGUAUUUUUACCUCUAUUAGCUCCGUUAAGCUGCUUAAGUAUUUGUUGAAGGAACUAAAAUCCUCCUCCCCCACGUGGGGACUAAAAGUCUUGCCGGAGCUGGGAGCCAGGAUGAUUCACCUAACCGACUCGUGAUGAUGAGGUGGAAGCCUGGAGUGCGGAAUCCACUCGAAUUUCAGAACCAGUUGAGACUUGAUUCUUCCUUUUCCUCCAUCCAAAUCCGUUCACCUUUCCGUCAUCCAGCUGCAGCGGCAGCCAACGGAAACUCGACCUGAAGUUCGUACCCAAGGAGGGAGAGAUGCAGCCUCAGCAACGACAUUAUAAAGAAGAUAAAGCAUGGACCACCAUUCGAAGGUUAGAGACAAGGUGCUCUUUCUGCUCGAUCCGGAGCGGUGGCUCGGGGUUUAUAGGCAUACCGGGACAAGAGGGAAUGUGAGUGGUGGGGACCUGAAGAAUGGAGGAGAAACUGAACAGGAGCUAUACUGCCCUCCUCCCGAUUCCGAGAGAGAGCCUACCCGAGAGAGCAGUCUAGAAGGCCCCUUAGGAACUGAACCCAGGAACUUGCCGCCCAAACCUCCCAGGUCUGUGCUAGUGCGGGUCUUGGAUUACCAAGUGAAGCAGGAGAUUCAACAAACCGCGUGGGUGAAAGGAAAGAUGACUCUGAAAACCGAGGAGCGCUCAAUGAGUUCUAUUAGUUUCUGGACCUACAAAGGAUAGAGUGAAGUCUCUGAAACUACCUGGAAAUUGGCAAGGGGAAGUGGAGAACAGGAUUUGGAAUCUACAAUACAGACGUCGCAAAGGAAGGUAUGUUGUGUCUAAGCCCCAAAAGGAGGAUUUGAUUGGACUCCUUUAUUUCUGGAGGAGAAAGAAAAGAGACCAGUGAAGGCUCUGGUCUGGUGGCAAAGACGAAAAUUUCCAAGAAAAAGGAUGUUUCUUGUAGUUGGAACUCUAAAGCAUUUCAGCCCCCAAUUAACUGACCAAAAAGUCAGUUUUAAAACUCUGAGGCAACACUGCCGGGAGGCGGAAGAGAGUAUAGAAAUCUUUAUACUAUUGUAACCAAAAUGUCCUCUCUUGAGACUGAUAAUUCAUACUGUGACAGUUUGGGGCAGCAAAGUACUACUGAGGAAUUGGAAGAAAUAACUUCCUUCUUGUGCUUAGCGGCCAUCCAGAAAUCACCAUGGGAAGUGGAAAAACAAACAAUACCCCUCCAUUCCUGCUUCCAUACUCUGUAAAUCCUAACCUUGUCCAUAUGUAGCACUCAUUGCUUCAGUCAUCAUUCUUCUGCAGGGAUGGGAAUGAGGAAGAAACUCAGCUGCUACCAGUCACCUAGCCUGAUUUCACAAGUCAUAAUUUACUUCUGGUACAUGCUAUGUGUGGAUUUAAUAACCAGCCUGACCAAGAUCUACAUAGCCAGCUGUGAACAUCAUAGUGACUACAAGUGUCUAUACUCACCCAAUGACUUCUGUGUCUACUCAUUCCUUUAACUCUAACCAGAUCUUUACCACAUGAAAUAAUUCACUAUGUAAUACAUCACUUUUAUGUGAUCGAAUAACAGCUAAUUGCUGUACCAAUGCUCUUCUUGUGGGCUAGCACACUUAACUCUUCUAAAAGGAAUUCCCAUGCUUUUAGCUUCCUUGAACCUUAUGGAAACAUCUGAGGAGAGUUUUUUGAAUCAUUGCCCACCUUCUUGGCUUGUAGUUUCCCAAUCUCUUUAUACAUUUGUGCCUGUUUUAGAUGUUUGUUUUAGUUGGAGAUUGACUUGCAACACACUCUCCAACCUAGUGUUGGAGGUGUGUAUACAUAGGGGUGACAGGAGAUACUUGACUAAUACCACGAAAAGACAAGGAGAGAAUGAAAAGAUUUCAAAUUUUCACCCUCUGAAAUUCUGAAGCAGGGAAAUAUUUUUUUUUUCCCAUGGAAAGUGGUCACAUUCUCUUCAUUACUGAUAUGAGUGUGGGGAGCAUCUAUGGAUGUUUUUCAAUGGCAAUAGCAGUUGAUGUACUGGUUUUGUUAAAAAAAAAAAGAGAGAAUGUUCUCCCUUAAAAAAAAUUGUUGUUAAAAGAAAAGGCUAAUUGGAUAAAAGAGAGGGGAGGGUCUAUUUUAAAAUGAAUAUGAUGAAAAAAACAAAAAGAAUCAACAACAAAAAUAAUUAAAACUUGAGUGUUUUAGCACUGAAUAAGAAAGCUACUCUCCUCAGCCCCACCCAGUACUUGUGGAUUUGUAACAUCUGGCUAUCUCCACAAAUUAGGGUAUACAAAUUCUCUUGAUGUUAGCUGUUUAGCAGGAUUUUCUAGGAUUUCAAGCACUGAGCACAGUUCCUAACUAGUAGUACCACUUAAUAAGUGCUUAUUUCCCACUCCCCUCCUCCCUCCAAUUCUGGACCCUGAGGCAGGAUUGCUCUCUAGGUCACUGACUCUAGUGUCAUUAAAGGAGCUUUAGACAAUCUUAUCUAUCAGUGAAUUUAUCAAUAGUAGAGGAGACUCAGGGAUAAAGAAAUGCUAUAUGGAAAAUCAGGAUUUUUGGCUGGUCCAGUUAAAAGCGCAUGUUAUUAAGAAUGAACAAUCCUUUCCUUACUUCCCUUACUCCACUUUAGAAAAUAAUAUUUCUCUUAAUUCAGUAUGUGAUAAGCUAAAUAGGACUGUAUAUUCAAAAGGAGAGAACUAAAGAGAACAGAAAGAAGGCUGGGAAUAUGGAGACUUUCCAGGUACAACAGAUAUGGUCUGAAAUUAGCUUGGUAAGAUUGUUCUUUGGGGCAACUUCAUGCCUGUUUUAUUUGUACUGUGAUAGUGCUAUUUGCUGAGAAUAGAUUUAACUACUAUUUUUCUUGUCCUAGCAUUUUUCAUUCUGGGAUUCAUUUUGCAAAGCUUACUACCUCAGAUCAACUUUUUAAGACAAUUUAAAUUGAGGAGAGAUCCUAGAAUACAGCAAAGCUACCCACUUUGUGGGAGGAUGGGGUGAAGGAAGUCACCUGGAGUCAUAAGCAAGUGUACUUCAUUUCAUUAAGAUGUAAGGUGUUGGGGGGCAGCUGGGUAGCUCAGUGGAUUGAGAACCAGGCCUAGAUAUGGGAGGUUCUAGGUUCAAAUCUGGCCUCAGCCACUUCCUAGCUAUGUGACCCUGGGCAAGUCACUUGACCCUCAUUGCCUAGCCCUUACCACUCUUCUGCCUUGGAACCAAUACACAGUAUUGACUCCAAGAGGGAAGGUAAGGGUUUAAAAAAAAAAGAUGUAAGGAGUUCACCCAGGGAAUUUUUUAAAAAUCCUUCUCUUCUGUCUUAGAAUCAAUGCUGUGUUAUUGAUUCUAAGGCAGAAGAGUGGCACGGGGUAGGCAAUAGGGGUUCAGUGACUUCCCCAGGAUCACACAGCUAGGAAGUGUUUGAGGUCAGAUUUGAACCAGGUCUUGACUCUACACCUGGCUCACAAUCCACUGAGCCACUUACCUGUCCUUGGGAAAUGAUUUUUAAAUGGAAACUUUAUUAACUAGUCAAACAUUAAGGACAUUUUAAUUGAUUUAUUAAAGAGACAAAAAUGUAACUAAAUGGACUUUUCAUUAGUUAAAUUUAACAAAUAUAUAUAUGCAAAUUAUUGAUUAUUUUAGAUUUAAGUAUAUGGAAUGCCUGUGAUUCUGGUGCUGAAUUGGUGGAGAUGGGGCUUGUUGUUUUUAUGUAACUGAAGGAGUAUAAAAGCUGCUAGCAUCUUCUAAGAGUCAUUGCCUUGGGGCAUGGCCUUGCCCUAGUUGCUACUCUGAAUAAGAGUAGAAACCAUAAAAGAUUUAUUCCAGAGACUUGAGUUCCAUUCCUAGUUCUGCCCUUUAUUCAGUGUUUGACCUCUGGGCAAGUCAUUUACCUUAAGCCCCAAUUGCCUUAUCUGGAAACCAAGAAUGAUAAUAACUACCCUAGUUACCUUAUACAUUCAUUUUGAAGGAUCAAAUGAAAUAAAAUAUAUACAUUGUUUUGUAACAGAAAAUACUAUAUAAAUGGACUUGGCUAUAAUUAUUAAUAACUAAUCCUACACUUUUCCAAACCCAUUUUUAAAAAAUUUACCUUCGAUUUAUGGUACUAUCUUUAUGAAGUAUGUGAGGCAAAAUGUCUCUUGAUUCCUAAGAAUAGUAUUUAGAACAGAGGGCAGGGUGGCUUGGGAGUAAAUUAUUUCCUUUCUUUUCACUCUAUGCUAACCUUUUCUACUUCAUUAUCCGAAUGAAACUGCUCUUCAAAGUUACCAAUGACUUUUUAAAAAAACCUUUACUUUGUAUCUUAGUCUCUAAGUAUUGGUUCUAAGGCAAAAGAGUGGUAAGGGCUAGGCAGCUGAGGUUAAAUGAUCAAGGUCACACAGCUAGGAAAUAUCCUGAGGCUAAAUUUGAACUCAAAGCCUGGCUCUAUCCACUGAACCACCUACCUGCCUCCUGAUUUCUUAAUUGUCAAACAUUGUGCCUUUUCCUUAGCCCUUAUGCUUCCUCAAUUACUCUAUAGUAUUUGACACAAUAGAUCAUCUCCUGGAUUGUCUUCCCCUUGGAUUUUCAUAAAACUGUUCUUUCCUCUUUUUCCUCCAGUUAUUUUUAUCACUUCUUAGUGAGAAAACACUUUUGCUCUUUCUCUAUUCAUGUCAUAUUUAUCAAUUAUGGGUAUCUCUUCUCUCCUGCUGUGAAUCUUAAAUUUACUCAGACUGUGCCUUAGAAGAUUUGGUUAAACUAUUCCCCAUUUUCUACAAUGGAGGUACUUGGUCAGGAAUAUAUUGAGAACUUUAAAAUUACUCCACCCUGCUCAGACAGUGCCUUAGGGGAAGAUAAAGUUGCAAAUUCCUGAUUGAACAAUGAAAAGUCCCCAACUCAUACUUAUAGUGAAGCAAAAACCCUAAGCUAGGUGGUCUAUUUUUAGAUCUAAUACAAAAGGGUGCUAAGUACCUAUAAAGGUUAAAUCAAUCACUGAAAGGUCAAGCAACUUACAAAAGGCAAGCUUAACAAAAGAGGUGUGAAGUUUUAGUCUAACCAGAGAAGGUGAGAACCAAAGAAGAUGUGAACUAAGAAUGGGCAGUUCUGGGAAAAAGUGUCUGAUGUGAAAAUUUGGGGGAGGUAACAUAAGAGAAAAUUUCUUUAAAAGGAGAAUUCAGUUCAGUUUGGAGGUAGUUCAGUUUGGAAGCUGAAUUGGAGCUCUGAACUCAAUUCAAGAGUUCAGAGGAGGGUCUCUGAACUCAGUUCAGGAGUUGAGGAUUUCAGUGAAGGACUGGAGAUCGCUUGAGACAUCUUGUGGUGAGUGAUAAAGACUGACUCUCCCUUAAGGCUCAGGCCUAGGCCAAAUGGCCUACUAUUAUUCUACUAUUUUCUCUCCCCUUCCCUUAAUUCCUUCAUUGAUAUUAAUUAAAAUCUCCAUAAUACCCAGCUGACUUGGGUAUUUUCAUAUUUGGGAAUUUUCCCAUAGUGACCACUUAUUUUUAAUAUAAAUCAAGACACUAAAAAUUAUCUUUACAGUUUGGCCGAAACCUUUAGAGUGUUUUGGAAAUUCACAGUCUUGGCAAAACCAUAUUUUUGCAGUUACACCUGCAAAGUGUCUCUUUUUGUACUCUCUUGCAUAGUGAUGAUAUUUUUAGAGAUAUUUUAUUUUACCAGUUACAUGUAAUAACAAUUUUCCACAUAAGUUUUCUGAAGUUAUAAGGUCCAAAUUGUCUCCCUCUUUCCCUUUACUCUCCUUCCCAGAGAUGGUAACCAGUUUGAUCUGGGUUAUACAUAUAUUAUCAUGCAAAACCAAUUUCCAUAUUGAUCAUUGUAAUAGAAUACUCAUAAAAUCAAAACUCCCAAAUAAAAAUCCAAAUAAACUAAAGUGAAAAAUAGCUUUGCAUGGUGAUCUCAUCAUCUCUCAGGAGCUGGGUUAUCCAUAUAGAUGAUGCCCAGCAUAAUGCAAAUUUAGUUUCCACAACUAAAGUACAACAUCAAUAUCCUUUUGGAUUUCUCAAAUCUAUGUCCCAUAGAUAUCUUAAUCUCAACAUAUCUAAAACUUAAUUCAUUUUCUUUUCCAGCAAACCUUCCCCUCUUCAAAAUUUUGCUUUUACUGGGGGCAGGUAAAUGACUCAGUAGAUAAAGUGCCAGGCUCAGAAAGGGGUUCUGGGUUCAAAUGUGGCUUUAGACACUUUCGAGCUAUGUGACCCUGAGCAAAUCUCUUAUCUCCAGUUGCCUAUACCUCAAUGCUCUUCUGUCUUAGAACUAAUACUUAGCUUUAAUUCUAAGAGGGUGGUAAGGAUUUUUUAAAAAUCCCUAUUAUUGUUCAGGAAACUAUUCUCCCUAUCACUUUGACCCAAAACUUCAGCUUCACUCAUUGUAUAUAUCUAAUUAGUUGCCAAAGUUUGUCAAUUCUACUUUAACAUGUCUCUCAUAUACAUUUACUUCUCUCCACUCACACAGUCACAAUUCUAAUUCUGGCCCUCAUCACCUUUUGUCUGUACUAUUGCAAUAGCCAUCUGACUAGCCUCCUUGCCUCUCCCCAUUCCAGUCUAAUCUGCUCAGUUGCCAAAAUGUUUUUACUUUAAACAUUGGUCUGACCAUGUCUCCAUUGGGCACUUCUUACUUCAGGAUCAAGCAUAAAACUUUAUGAAUGACCUGGCCUUCUCCAUUUCCAUUGUUCUUACACUUUUUACCUCUCAAUGCACUUUGUGAGCCAACUACAUUGGCCUAAUUGAUCUUCACAUAAGACAGUCCAUCUUGUUCCAUCUCCUGUCUCCAUUUCUUUGCAGUGGCUGUGCCCCAUCCCUAGCAUGCUCCCUCCUUAGUUUUGCCUCUCUUCUUUUAGAACUUAAUAUAAAUCCUGCCUUUUGUAGUUCUUUUCCUCUAAGACUGCUUUUUUAUCUUUUUUCUAUCUAUAUCUUUUAUGUUUUUAAUUAUUUACAUGCUGUUUCCUGCCAUCUGUCCCCCCCCACUUCUGCCCCCCAUUAAGAAGUAAGGUCCUUGAGGGCAGGGACUGCUUUUGCUUUACUUUUGUGUUCUGUUUCUGAUACCAAUAAAGGACUUAAUAAAU